RNAcentral lists this ribosomal RNA (684 nucleotides) under uncultured Pasteurella sp. RNAcentral's name for it is "bacterial SSU rRNA". It matches the Rfam family "Bacterial small subunit ribosomal RNA", at positions 95 to 775 of the family's 1533-position model. Lineage: Bacteria; Pseudomonadati; Pseudomonadota; Gammaproteobacteria; Pasteurellales; Pasteurellaceae. The record is from RNAcentral.
GUGGCGGACGGGUGAGUAAUGCUUGGGAAUCUGGCUUAUGGAGGGGGAUAACUGUGGGAAACUGCAGCUAAUACCGCGUAUUCUCUGAGGAGGAAAGGGUGGGACCUUAGGGCCACCUGCCAUAAGAUGAGCCCAAGUGGGAUUAGGUAGUUGGUGGGGUAAAGGCCUACCAAGCCUGCGAUCUCUAGCUGGUCUGAGAGGAUGACCAGCCACACUGGAACUGAGACACGGUCCAGACUCCUACGGGAGGCAGCAGUGGGGAAUAUUGCGCAAUGGGGGGAACCCUGACGCAGCCAUGCCGCGUGAAUGAAGAAGGCCUUCGGGUUGUAAAGUUCUUUCGGUAAUGAGGAAGGGAUGUUGUUAAAUAGAUAGCAUCAUUGACGUUAAUUACAGAAGAAGCACCGGCUAACUCCGUGCCAGCAGCCGCGGUAAUACGGAGGGUGCGAGCGUUAAUCGGAAUAACUGGGCGUAAAGGGCACGCAGGCGGACUUUUAAGUGAGAUGUGAAAUCCCCGAGCUUAACUUGGGAACUGUAUUUCAGACUGGGAGUCUAGAGUACUUUAGGGAGGGGUAGAAUUCCACGUGUAGCGGUGAAAUGCGUAGAGAUGUGGAGGAAUACCGAAGGCGAAGGCAGCCCCUUGGGAAUGUACUGACGCUCAUGUGCGAAAGCGUGGGGAGCAAACAG